This 269-nucleotide ribosomal RNA is filed under the name uncultured Planctomycetales bacterium. RNAcentral describes it as "partial 16S ribosomal RNA". It matches the Rfam family "Bacterial small subunit ribosomal RNA", at positions 565 to 832 of the family's 1533-position model. The record is from RNAcentral. Lineage: Bacteria; Pseudomonadati; Planctomycetota; Planctomycetia; Planctomycetales.
GAGCACGUAGGUGGGUUUGUAAGUCAGAUGUGAAGGCCUUCUGUUCAACGGAAGAAUUGCAUCUGAAACUGCGAGUCUUGAGUGUAGGAGGGGAGAAUGGAACUUCUGGUGGAGCGGUGAAAUGCGUAGAUAUCAGAAGGAACUCCGGCGGCGAAAGCGAUUCUCUGGCCUAUUACUGACACUCAGUGCGCGAAAGCUAGGGGAGCAAACGGGAUUAGAUACCCCGGUAGUCCUAGCCGUAAACGAUGGGCACUAAGUAGAGGGGUUUU